CAUGCAGUUACAGGAUUAAACGCAUGAUGAGGAGCUUCGUCUUGAGCACAGCUUUAUUUCUCUCCAGCCUCAGCUGGAUCUCUGUCUCAGGUUCUGAGUUUCAGACUGUGGAGGUCCAACUUGGUGAAGAAGUCACGUUGAAGUGCUCCAACAUUUCGAGUCAUCCAACACAGACAGACUGGUUCAAAGUUAUCAACAGAACUAAGCCCAGCUGCAUUGCUGCUAUGUAUGGAUCUCAGGGCAAAGCUUCAUUCUGUGAUGGAUUUCGAAAUGGAAAAUUCAAUAUGAGUUCCAACAACACCUCUGUGUUUCUUAAAAUCACACAAGUGGAUUUAUCUGAUGUCGGGCUGUAUUUCUGUGGAUUUUACGUGAAUAAGCAUACGGUCAUUUCCAAUGCAGUCGAGUUAAGAAUUCAAGGCGGUGAAACCAAUGAAGAAGAGGGUUUUAAGACGGAAAGUAAAAUUAUUUUUCUGACUCUUAACAUUUUGUUUUUCAUUGUGAUCAUUAUUAUUAUUAAUAUUACGUGUAAAUCAAACAGAUUGAAUUAGAGUGAUGUUCUAUUAUAAUCUCUUUUACAGAAGAGCCUGGUAAUACACAUGUGAUGAGCAUCGUCCUGAGUGGUGUGACUGGUUUGCUCACUGUGGUGGUCAUUGUUCUGGUUCUAAAAAUCUGGAAACUUCAAACAGAACCUAAACCAGAGAGAAACAAGAAAGUGAGCUCAGAAAAUCUGAAGUACACGGGGAUGAAUAUACAGAUGAAUGUCGAAAGCAGCUGCAGGUCUGUGGCACAGACAGAGCUGGAGACACAUGUUGUGUAUGCUGCCGCCAGAUAGACUCAAUAAGUGGAGCUCAUGCUUUAUGAUACUAACCUGCUGAUGUAGUUUUGUGGAUGUUUUGUGGAUGACAUGGCAAAAACUG
Haplochromis burtoni (Burton's mouthbrooder) is the source of this 917-nucleotide long non-coding RNA. RefSeq lists it as uncharacterized. The transcript has 5 exons. NCBI's taxonomy places the organism in Eukaryota, Metazoa, Chordata, Actinopteri, Cichliformes, Cichlidae. The record is from RefSeq and is a predicted model, not a curated record.